This 23-nucleotide non-coding RNA is filed under the name Arabidopsis thaliana (thale cress). The record is from RNAcentral. Lineage: Eukaryota; Viridiplantae; Streptophyta; Magnoliopsida; Brassicales; Brassicaceae.
ACGGGCUUAGGAGCAGGUGAGUA